This 84-nucleotide transfer RNA is filed under the name Dehalococcoidia bacterium. RNAcentral's name for it is "tRNA-Leu". It matches the Rfam family "tRNA". From Rfam's summary of the family: Transfer RNA (tRNA) molecules are approximately 80 nucleotides in length. The record is from RNAcentral. Lineage: Bacteria; Bacillati; Chloroflexota; Dehalococcoidia.
GCCGAAGUGGCGGAACGGUAGACGCGCUACGUUCAGGGCGUAGUGUCCCUUGCGGACGUGUGGGUUCAAAUCCCUCCUUCGGCA